This 253-nucleotide ribosomal RNA is filed under the name uncultured bacterium. RNAcentral describes it as "partial 16S ribosomal RNA". It matches the Rfam family "Bacterial small subunit ribosomal RNA", at positions 524 to 776 of the family's 1533-position model. The record is from RNAcentral.
UACGUAGGGGGCAAGCGUUGUCCGGAAUCAUUGGGCGUAAAGAGCGUGUAGGCGGCCUGAUAAGUCGGCUGUGAAAGUCAAGGGCUCAACCCUUGAAUGCCGGCCGAUACUGUCAGGCUAGAGUCCGGAAGAGGCGAGUGGAAUUCCUGGUGUAGCGGUGAAAUGCGCAGAUAUCAGGAGGAACACCGAUGGCGAAGGCAGCUCGCUGGGACGGUACUGACGCUGAGACGCGAAAGCGUGGGGAGCAAACGGG